GAAUCACGUUCAAACUAUAAUUUGAUAUUUAAGUACAUGGUUAACAGAUAGUGAAAGUAGCUAACUCUAACACAAUGAAAAACUUUAACUUUACAGUUUGAAGGUUUAUGAAGAACUUAAAAUGAAAAACUUUAACUUUACAGUUUGAAGGUUUAUGCUCUUGUAUUUGGUAAUAUGUCAGUGUCAGUGUGUUAUUUAUUCUCAUAUACAGAAAAAAAAUCAUCUAAAUACAAAACAAAUUGUAUAAACAACUCCACGC
RNAcentral lists this long non-coding RNA (259 nucleotides) under Lathyrus oleraceus (garden pea). Its description in RNAcentral is "Pisum sativum (pea) long non-coding RNA (PSAT_LNC019075)". The record is from RNAcentral. Lineage: Eukaryota; Viridiplantae; Streptophyta; Magnoliopsida; Fabales; Fabaceae.